RNAcentral lists this ribosomal RNA (490 nucleotides) under uncultured bacterium. RNAcentral describes it as "partial 16S ribosomal RNA". It matches the Rfam family "Bacterial small subunit ribosomal RNA", at positions 28 to 507 of the family's 1533-position model. The record is from RNAcentral.
GAUGAACGCUAGCUACAGGCUUAACACAUGCCAGUCGCGGGGCAGCAUGGGGGUUGCUUGCAAUCCCCGAUGGCGACCGGCGCACGGGUGAGUAACGCGUAUCCAACCUGCCCUUCACCACGGGAUAACCCGGCGAAAGUCGGACUAAUACCGUAUGUUGUCCAUUGACGGCAUCCGAUUUGGACGAAAGGCUUGGCGGUGAGGGAUGGGGAUGCGUCCGAUUAGCCAGACGGCGGGGUAACGGCCCACCGUGGCUACGAUCGGUAGGGGUUCUGAGAGGAAGGUCCCCCACACUGGAACUGAGACACGGUCCAGGCUCCUACGGGAGGCAGCAGUGAGGAAUAUUGGUCAAUGGGCGUAAGCCUGAACCAGCCAAGUAGCGUGCAGGAGGACGGCCCUAUGGGUUGUAAACUGCUUUUAUGCGGGGAUAAAGUGGCCCACGUGUGGGCUUUUGCAGGUACCGCAUGAAUAAGGACCGGCUAAUUCCGUG